This 530-nucleotide ribosomal RNA is filed under the name Enterobacter sp. RNAcentral's name for it is "bacterial SSU rRNA". It matches the Rfam family "Bacterial small subunit ribosomal RNA", at positions 65 to 584 of the family's 1533-position model. Lineage: Bacteria; Pseudomonadati; Pseudomonadota; Gammaproteobacteria; Enterobacterales; Enterobacteriaceae. The record is from RNAcentral.
AACGGUAACAGGAAGCAGCUUGCUGCUUUGCUGACGAGUGGCGGACGGGUGAGUAAUGUCUGGGAAACUGCCUGAUGGAGGGGGAUAACUACUGGAAACGGUAGCUAAUACCGCAUAACGUCGCAAGACCAAAGAGGGGGACCUUCGGGCCUCUUGCCAUCGGAUGUGCCCAGAUGGGAUUAGCUAGUAGGUGGGGUAACGGCUCACCUAGGCGACGAUCCCUAGCUGGUCUGAGAGGAUGACCAGCCACACUGGAACUGAGACACGGUCCAGACUCCUACGGGAGGCAGCAGUGGGGAAUAUUGCACAAUGGGCGCAAGCCUGAUGCAGCCAUGCCGCGUGUAUGAAGAAGGCCUUCGGGUUGUAAAGUACUUUCAGCGGGGAGGAAGGCGAUGAGGUUAAUAACCUUGUCGAUUGACGUUACCCGCAGAAGAAGCACCGGCUAACUCCGUGCCAGCAGCCGCGGUAAUACGGAGGGUGCAAGCGUUAAUCGGAAUUACUGGGCGUAAAGCGCACGCAGGCGGUCUGUC